GCUUCCUUAGCUCAGUCGGUAGAGCGCAGGUCUCAUACAGACUAUAUGUAUGACUGAGCUAAUGCUCAGGCAAUCCUGAGGUCGACAGUUCGAGCCUGCCAGGGAGCA
Molecule: non-coding RNA, 108 nt
Organism: Artomyces pyxidatus
Lineage: Eukaryota; Fungi; Basidiomycota; Agaricomycetes; Russulales; Auriscalpiaceae
Source: the annotation of a GenBank genome assembly